GAUGAAGAACGCAGCGAAAUGCGAUAAGUAGUGUGAAUUGCAGAAUUCAGUGAAUCAUCGAAUCUUUGAACGCACAUUGCGCCCCUUGGUAUUCCAUGGGGCAUGCCUGUUCGAGCGUCAUUUGUACCUUCAAGCUCUGCUUGGUGUUGGGUGUUUGUCUCGCCUUGCGCGUAGACUCGCCUUAAAACAAUUGGCAGCCGGCGUAUUGAUUUCGAAGCGCAGUACAUCUCGCGCUUUGCACUCAUAACGACGACGUCCAAAAGUACUUUUUACACUCUUGACCUCGGAUCAGGUAGGGAUACCCGCUGAACUUAAGCAUAUCAAUAAGCGGAGGA
This 335-nucleotide unclassified non-coding RNA is filed under the name soil metagenome. RNAcentral's name for it is "partial contains 5.8S ribosomal RNA, internal transcribed spacer 2, and large subunit ribosomal RNA". The stretch from base 1 to 120 matches the Rfam family "5.8S ribosomal RNA", at positions 35 to 154 of the family's 154-position model. The record is from RNAcentral.